CCGCCAGGGGCACGGCUGGUUAGCUACGUUCGGAUGGGAUAACCGCUGAAGGCAUCUAAGCGGGAAGCCCGUUCCAAGAUGAGGUCUCCCACCCCGCGAGGGUUAAGGCCCCCACCAGACCAGUGGGUUGAUAGGCCGGAAGUGGAAGCGCAGCAAUGCGUGCUCGAGCUAACCGGUACUAAUCGGCCGAGGGCUUGUCCA
RNAcentral lists this ribosomal RNA (201 nucleotides) under Haloechinothrix alba. RNAcentral describes it as "23S rRNA. Bacterial LSU". It matches the Rfam family "Bacterial large subunit ribosomal RNA", at positions 2726 to 2925 of the family's 2925-position model. Lineage: Bacteria; Bacillati; Actinomycetota; Actinomycetes; Pseudonocardiales; Pseudonocardiaceae. The record is from RNAcentral.